CAUGCACUGGUGGGGUCCCUCGGCCUGGCCUGCACCCUCUUGCAAUCUAGGAUCCCUUGAGGUAUGUCGGACUGCCAGUUUUGACCUGAUCCCUGCAGGCCAGGCUGAGGGACCCCACUGGUGCACA
This 127-nucleotide microRNA precursor is filed under the name Myotis brandtii (Brandt's bat). Its description in RNAcentral is "mir-9193 microRNA precursor family". It matches the Rfam family "mir-9193 microRNA precursor family". Lineage: Eukaryota; Metazoa; Chordata; Mammalia; Chiroptera; Vespertilionidae. The record is from Rfam by way of RNAcentral.